GUGGGGAAUAUUGGACAAUGGGCGAAAGCCUGAUCCAGCCAUGCCGCGUGUGUGAAGAAGGUCUUCGGAUUGUAAAGCACUUUAAGUUGGGAGGAAGGGCAGUAAGUUAAUACCUUGCUGUUUUGACGUUACCGACAGAAUAAGCACCGGCUAACUUCGUGCCAGCAGCCGCGGUAAUACGAAGGGUGCAAGCGUUAAUCGGAAUUACUGUGCGUAAAGCGCGCGUAGGUGGUUUUGUAAGUUGGAUGUGAAAUCCCCGGGCUCAACCUGGGAACUGCCUCCAAAACUGCAUGACUAGAGUACGGUAGAGGGUAGUGGAAUUUCCUGUGUAGCGGUGAAAUGCGUAGAUAUAGGAAGGAACACCAGUGGCGAAGGCGACUACCUGGACUGAUACUGACACUGAGGUGCGAAAGCGUGGGGAGCAAACAGGAUUAGAAACCCUUGUAGUCC
This 450-nucleotide ribosomal RNA is filed under the name uncultured bacterium. RNAcentral's name for it is "bacterial SSU rRNA". It matches the Rfam family "Bacterial small subunit ribosomal RNA", at positions 354 to 796 of the family's 1533-position model. The record is from RNAcentral.